GAACAUAUAGCUCAAGUGGUAGAGCACAUGCUUAGCAUGCACAAGGUCCUGGGUUCAAUUCCCAGUACGUUCU
Molecule: transfer RNA, 73 nt
Filed under: Camelus bactrianus (Bactrian camel)
Lineage: Eukaryota; Metazoa; Chordata; Mammalia; Artiodactyla; Camelidae
Also listed under: 2 other names
Rfam family: tRNA
About the family: Transfer RNA (tRNA) molecules are approximately 80 nucleotides in length. Their secondary structure includes four short double-helical elements and three loops (D, anti-codon, and T loops).
Source: Rfam by way of RNAcentral